GUGGGGAAUAUUGCACAAUGGGGGAAACCCUGAUGCAGCAACGCCGCGUGAGUGAUGACGGCCUUCGGGUUGUAAAGCUCUGUCUUCAGGGACGAUAAUGACGGUACCUGAGGAGGAAGCCACGGCUAACUACGUGCCAGCAGCCGCGGUAAUACGUAGGUGGCAAGCGUUGUCCGGAUUUACUGGGCGUAAAGGGAGCGUAGGUGGAUAUUUAAGUGAGAUGUGAAAUACCCGGGCUCAACUUGGGUGCUGCAUUUCAAACUGGAAGUCUAGAGUGCAGGAGAGGAGAAGGGAAUUCCUAGUGUAGCGGUGAAAUGCGUAGAGAUUAGGAAGAACACCAGUGGCGAAGGCGCUUCUCUGGACUGUAACUGACGCUGAGGCUCGAAAGCGUGGGGAGCGGACAGGAUUAGAUACCCGUGUAGUCC
RNAcentral lists this ribosomal RNA (425 nucleotides) under uncultured bacterium. RNAcentral describes it as "partial 16S ribosomal RNA". It matches the Rfam family "Bacterial small subunit ribosomal RNA", at positions 354 to 796 of the family's 1533-position model. The record is from RNAcentral.